CCAUAAUGCGACUAAAACAGGAGAACUCCACCUGUCUUAAUUAGAUUAUGCUUACUUCGAUUAUGACCUUAAUUAGAUUAAGUAAAAGUGCAGAACUCUUAAAACCUGAGAUGGGUAACGUACAACGCUAUACCAGUAAUCCCUUUAAACGGGGCCACAUCUCACUAGCAGAAAAGAAAGAGAAAACAAAAAUGAGGAAAAGAGGAAUCAGAACUGUGCAAAAAGAAAAGAAAGAACUUGGAAUUAUGGGAUUUGAGAAUCAGGCAGACGACGAAAGACUUCCUGUCAGAAGGUCCUGUCCAUUAGGAAGCCAGCAGGUUGCUCUCCAAGCCUGUACUAUUCAUUAUUGAGUCUCUGGAGAAUUUCUUAAUGUUUUGAGUUCCCCAGCGGAGAACAUGUUGGACCUUCGCACUCCACAGGUGGGAAAUGAAUUAGAGGAAGCAGAGUCCAUUCCUGAGUGUACAUAGUUAUAAUUCCAGCUGAGUGCUCUUCCUAUGGAGCCCCAACGGGCCGUUAAGUUGUACUGACUUCUUAGAGGUGUUGAAAUAAAGGCCACUCCAGGACUGCGCAUGGCUACAGCGCUCUCUCUUGCCCUCUCUCUCUCUCACACACACACACACACACGUUGGGGAAAUCUCUUUGCUAGAUGAGUUUUACACCUCACGUAUAUCAACAUUAUGGUGUACAAUAUACUGUACAUGUUAUAUCUGAGAACAGGUUUAGUAGUAAAGGAUGGUUAGCAUAAUAAAAGUGUAUUACACUUAUUUUUUGCUAAUGAACCACUUUUACUGUAAAACCAUUAUUAAUAAAUCAUGUGAUCACAAAC
Ictalurus punctatus (channel catfish) is the source of this 826-nucleotide long non-coding RNA. NCBI's taxonomy places the organism in Eukaryota, Metazoa, Chordata, Actinopteri, Siluriformes, Ictaluridae. The record is from Ensembl.